RNAcentral lists this ribosomal RNA (523 nucleotides) under uncultured bacterium. RNAcentral's name for it is "bacterial SSU rRNA". It matches the Rfam family "Bacterial small subunit ribosomal RNA", at positions 355 to 896 of the family's 1533-position model. The record is from RNAcentral.
UGGGGAAUAUUGGACAAUGGACCGAGAGUCUGAUCCAGCAAUUCUGUGUGCACGAUGACGUUUUUCGGAAUGUAAAGUGCUUUCAGUUGGGAAGAAAAAAAUGACGGUACCAACAGAAGAAGUGACGGCUAAAUACGUGCCAGCAGCCGCGGUAAUACGUAUGUCACGAGCGUUAUCCGGAUUUAUUGGGCGUAAAGCGCGUCUAGGUGGUUAUGUAAGUCUGAUGUGAAAAUGCAGGGCUCAACUCUGUAUUGCGUUGGAAACUGUGUAACUAGAGUACUGGAGAGGUAAGCGGAACUACAAGUGUAGAGGUGAAAUUCGUAGAUAUUUGUAGGAAUGCCGAUGGGGAAGCCAGCUUACUGGACAGAUACUGACGCUGAAGCGCGAAAGCGUGGGUAGCAAACAGGAUUAGAUACCCUGGUAGUCCACGCCGUAGACGAUGAUUACUAGGUGUUGGGGGUCGAACCUCAGCGCCCAAGCAAACGCGAUAGUAAUCCGCCUGGGGAGUACGUACGCAAGUAUG